Molecule: ribosomal RNA, 2364 nt
Filed under: termite gut metagenome
Description: bacterial LSU rRNA
Rfam family: Bacterial large subunit ribosomal RNA
Source: RNAcentral
CCAAGAUAUUAAGGGCAUUCGGUGGAUGCCUUGGCGUCAGGAGGCGAUGAAGGACGUGGUGGGCUGCGAAAAGCCCCGGGGAGCUGCCAAACAAGCAUUGAUCCGGGGGUAUCCGAAUGGGGCAACCCGGCUGGAGUCAUGUCCAGUCAUUCUCUAGCUGAAUAUAUAGGCAAGAGAAAGCGAACCCAGGGAAGUGAAACAUCUCAGUACCUGGAGGAAAAGAAAUCAAACGAGAUUUCCCAAGUAGCGGCGAGCGAACGGGAAGGAGCCUAAACCGGUGUUUUUUCGGAAAUGCCGGUGUUGCAGGGCCUCGAUAAAGUGAUCCGUAAUUAUACAGCAGAACAGGUUGGGAAACCUGGCCAUAGUAGGUGAAAGCCCUGUAUGCGAAGUAGAACGCGGCGCUUAGAGGUUCCUAAGUACCGCGGGGCACGUGUAACCCCGUGGGAAUCUGGGUGGACCAUCAUCCAAGGCUAAAUACUACCUGACGACCGAUAGCGAACUAGUACCGUGAGGGAAAGGUGAAAAGAACCUCUGAUAGAGGAGUGCAAUAGAACCUGAAACCGAUUGCCUACAAGCGGUGGGAGCUGUGCAACUUACGGGUUGCGUGGUGACCGCGUGCCUUUUGCAUAAUGAGUCCGCGAGUUAAUUUCAAGUGCGAGGUUAAGCGUAAGUGUAGCCGUAGCGAAAGCGAGUCUGAAUAGGGCGCUAAGUACUUGGGAUUACACCCGAAACCGAGUGAUCUAUCCAUGGGCAGGUUGAAAGUCAGGUAAAACUGAGUGGAGGACCGAACCAUUGAAGGUUGAAAACUUCUUGGAUGACCUGUGGAUAGGGGUGAAAGGCUAAUCAAACUCGGUGAUAGCUGGUUCUCCCCGAAAUAUAUUGAGGUAUAGCCUCAGACGAUGACUGACGGAGGUAGAGCACUGAAAGGGCUAGGGGCCCCACCAGGUUACCAACCCCUAUCAAACUCCGAAUGCCGUUUAGUUUAGUCUGGGAGUCAGGCUGCGGGUGAAAAGGUCCGUAGCCGAGAGGGAAAGAGCCCAGAUCGACAGCUAAGGUCUCCAAAUCCAUGCUCAGUGUGAAAGGAUGUGGGAUUGUAUACACAGCCAGGAGGUUGGCUUAGAAGCAGCCAUCCUUUAAAGAAAGCGUAAUAGCUCACUGGUCUAAUGGUCCUGCGCCGAAGAUGUAACGGGGCUCAAGCAUGGUACCGAAGCUUCGACUUUGCCGAUAAGGCAAGGGGUAGGGGAGCGUUCUCUUAUAGGAUGAAGGUGUUCUGUAAAGAAUGCUGGACGACAGAGAAGUGAUUAUGCGGACAUGAGUAACGAUAAAACGAGUGAGAAACUCGUUCGCCGUAAGCCCGAGGUUUCCUGGGUAAAGUUAAUCUUCCCAGGGUUAGUCGGCCCCUAAGACGAGGGCGAAAGCCGUAGUCGAUGGGAAACAGGUUAAUAUUCCUGUACAUGUAUGAACGCGCGAUGGGGGGACGCAGGAGGGUAGGUCAUCCAUCCGUUGGAAGUGAUGGUGCAAGCGUGUAGGUAGGAGAUAUAGGCAAAUCCGUAUCUUCUCAGCCAAGACGCGAUGCCGUGACGCUUAGUCUGAAGUGAUUGAGCCCACACUGCCAAGAAAAGCCUCUAAGUAUAGUUCAUGCAUACCGUACUGCAAACCAACACAGGUGGGCGGGAUGAGUAAUCCAAGGCGCUUGAGAGAACUCUAGCUAAGGAACUCGGCAAAAUUACCCCGUAACUUCGGGAUAAGGGGUGCUUGCUUGGGUGAGAAAACUUGCUUUUUAAGUCUAGGCGAGCCGCAGAGAAAUGGCGGUGGCGACUGUUUACUAAAAACAUAGGGCUCUGCGAAGUCCAAAAGACGACGUAUAGGGCCUGACGCCUGCCCGGUGCCGGAAGGUUAAGGGGAGAAGUUAGUCGCAAGGCGAAGCUUUGAACCGAAGCCCCGGUAAACGGCGGCCGUAACUAUAACGGUCCUAAGGUAGCGAAAUUCCUUGUCGGGUAAGUUCCGACCUGCACGAAUGAUCUCCGCGCUGUCUCAGCUAGAGACUCAGUGAAAUUGAAUUGGCAGUGAAAAUGCUGUCUACCCGCAGCAAGACGGAAAGACCCUGUGCACCUUUACUACAACUUGACAUUGAUUCUUGGAUAAGCAUGUGUAGGAUAGGUGGGAGGCUUUGAAUCGGGAACGCCAGUUUUCGAGGAGCCACCCUUGAAAUACCACCCUUGCUUAUUUAAGGGUCUAAUCCUUGCCGUAAUCCGGUACGGAAACAGUGUCUGGUGGGUAGUUUGACUGGGGCGGUCGCCUCCUAAAGUGUAACGGAGGCAUACAAAGGUUCCCUCAGGCUGAUUGGAAACCAGCCGUUGAGUG